This 269-nucleotide ribosomal RNA is filed under the name uncultured prokaryote. Its description in RNAcentral is "partial 16S ribosomal RNA". It matches the Rfam family "Bacterial small subunit ribosomal RNA", at positions 524 to 792 of the family's 1533-position model. The record is from RNAcentral.
UACGGAGGAUCCGAGCGUUAUCCGGAAUCACUGGGCGUAAAGGGCGCGUAGGCGGCCUGUUAAGUCCGAUGUUAAAGACUGGGGCUCAACCCCAGCAUUGCGUUGGAUACUGGCAGGCUUGACGGUUGGAGAGGCGAGUGGAAUUACCAGCGUAGCGGUGAAAUGCGUAGAGAUCGGGAGGAACACCAGUGGCGAAGGCGGGUAACUGGACUGCAACUGACGCUGAGGCGCGAAAGUGUGGGGAGCAAACAGGAUUAGAUACCCCUGUA